UGGACGCCACCGAGGUGAUGCAGGUCUCCUCCUCGCUCGAGAACUCGGGGCUGUCACGGGAUCGCUCCACCUCCAGACUACAGCACCCGCCCAUCACCCCACCCUCACGCCAUGGCCCCCGCCCCGCCCCGCCCCGCACACUACAAGACCUCUUCUGGGUACGGCUUUAACCUACUGCCGCUCAUCGACCACGCAAUACACAGGGAAUACUUAAGAGUAGUGGUGGUGGUGGUGGUGAUGCCUCGUCCACCAGUUGCUGACGGAGGGCCAGUGGUGCCAGUGCCGAGGUGUCACGCACGUCCACACCUCACAAUUACUUCCACCCGUCAGUGCCUGUCAUCACGGAGCUCGAGUUACCAGCGUGUUUGUUUACAUUGCCGCGCCGGGGAAGGUUUUGUCACCGCGGCGAUAAAGCGUGGCGUGAGGAAGACGACAGCAACCCUUGGAUUCGAGUUUCAUUAUAGUCCAGUCUUGUACGUGUUGGAGGGCAGGAUGAGAGCGUUACGAGAUCAAGGCCUCACUUAUUGUCAGGGUUGGUAGAGACGAUAUGACAGGAAGGUUCAGAUAAGAAUUUUGAAGGUUAGGUGACACGAUACAAGCCUUACAAGAUCAGUGAUGGCCAGUCGUUGUAUAUACUCAAUCCUGUAACGUGCUGAAUGGCGGGAUGCUUGCGUUACGAGAUUAUGGAGUCACUCGUGUAUAUAUAUGAGGGGAAGAUAUACAAGGAAAGUUUUGGCAAGCAUUUACAGGGUUAGGUGACGCGAUACAAGCCUUACAAGAUCAGUGAUGGCCAGUCGUUGCAGAUACUCUACUCUGUAACGUGUUGGAGAUUAUAGUCACUCGUAUGUGGGGAAGAUAUACAAGGAAAGUCUUGGCAAGCAUUCACAAGGUUAGGUGACACGAUACAAGCCUUACAAGAUCAGUGAUGGCCAGUCGUUGCAUAUACUCUACUCUGUAACGUGUUGAAUGGCAGGACGCGAGUGUUACCAGAUUAUAAUGUCACUCGUUGUUAUUUUAAGUAAGGGAUAUAGGUCAGGAAAAUUUUGUCAAACAUUCACGACAUGGGUGACACGAUACGACGACUACGAGUUAGGUGAUUAGCUUCAACAGGGAGCCAACUAUCUGUGGCACUCAAUUCAUGGACACGUGGGCAACUUGGCACUCCAUCGCUCACUAAUUCUUAACCCGGUAGCAGCGACGGGCCAAAUAUGUGGCUUUACAGUAUACCAGCGUCGGGCCAAAUUCUUGCCUUGACAUAAACCCCAAAAAUAGAGGAUACAUAAACUGAUCACAAAUGCAUUAAUACAUACAAUAUAUACUAAUGGUUGGCGUGAGUGAUGAUUUUUUUCUCAUUAAUUCGCUUAGAGGGCCUUUAAGAAACAUGAUCCCCGCAGCUACUGGGUUAAAGAUCACCACUUCUUGUAUGAAACGGGAUAUAUGAACAAACUUAAAACAGGGAAUGAAUAGCAGUAAGAGGGUGAGUAUAGGUGGGUCGUCUGGUGAGUGUGUGAGUGUGGAGUGAGGCAACACAGGCAAACGGGAACUGAGAGUGAGGAGAGCUGAGGAAGCGCUGAUACAGACCGACACACACGACUCGUCAGCGAUAGCGGCUACACCGGGGACACGUGGAGCCAAAUCAACCGCAUGUGUGAAUGAGGGACAUUAUCAAACGCAUCGGGCUCCAAUUACGAUCAUUUUCAAAGCCCACAGGGGAGAUUAACCGUUUUUUUGGGGGGUGCUCUUCCCGUUCAGAUGCAAAGGCUAUGUAAAACUAUCACUAGGAUCACAAAACAGGCAAUAAAAAAGCACAGGAAUUUCUACGUAAGGCUUUGAAACAGGCGAACCAAGGUGCCGAACGUUCAAGAAUACAUUACGAUUAUUAACCGAGACCACAGAAGAGGUUAACCGUUUUUUUGGGGGGUGCUCUUCCCGGCUUUGUAAAACUAUCACCAAGGUCACAAAACAGUCCAGCAACUAAUACGAAUGUCUUUUCAAACGGGUGAACUGAAGUGCUGAGACGUUCAAAUAUAUCAAGCUCCAAUUACGUUCAUUUUCCAAGACGACGGAGAUGAUUAACCGGGUUCUGGUGUGUACUUUUCCCGUUCAAGGUCCAGAGGCUUUGGAAAACUAUCACCAGGAUCACAAAACAGUCCAGCAACUAAUACGAUUGGCUUUUCAAACGGGUGAACUGAAGUGCUGAGACGUUCAAAAAUAUCAAGCUCCAAUUACGUUCAUUUUCCAAGACGACAGAGAUGAUUAACCGUUUUUUUUUUUGGAUGCAUAGGACAGGA
Eriocheir sinensis (Chinese mitten crab) is the source of this 2291-nucleotide long non-coding RNA. RefSeq lists it as uncharacterized. The transcript has 2 exons. The record is from RefSeq and is a predicted model, not a curated record. Lineage: Eukaryota; Metazoa; Arthropoda; Malacostraca; Decapoda; Varunidae.